This 3068-nucleotide small RNA is filed under the name Pongo abelii (Sumatran orangutan). RNAcentral describes it as "retained intron". Lineage: Eukaryota; Metazoa; Chordata; Mammalia; Primates; Hominidae. The record is from RNAcentral.
GCUCUUCCAGAGGCAAGACCAACCAAGAUGAGGUGGGUCCACAGCUUUCCCUCCUGCCUUUCCUCUGGUUCUUUAUUUCAGUCUUUUUUGUAUACAUCGGUAGAGAUGCAGAAAUAGAACAAAGAAACAGGGCAAAUGGGCUAAAUUAUAGUGACCUAAAGGGCUUAGUGUGUUAAAUCUUCUCCUUUUCUGCAUCCAUAGAAGACAGUGCUGCUGUCUUUCCCAGGAGAUGAGAUUUACUCUCAGGAGUGUCUUUUUCCUUCAGGUUACGUUUUUGACUUUGUAGGGGAUGUCAUCAGCUCCUGUGGUAGGCUUCCUGGCAUCCUGAGAAUAUUUAUUAGCAGAUAUUUUCCUCUUUAAAAAUGUAUAAUAAGGAAGACUAAUAGUAACAUGUUUGAAUGACACAAUUAAUUGACUAGUACCUGGGAUACACACUAAUACCUGGGAUACAUCUAAUUAAGGCACUUAUAUCUUAUAAAAAUAAAGACUUUUUGAAAUGUUGAAAUAAUAAGACUAGAAACUUCUUUUUUUUUUUUUUUUUUUGAGAUGGAGUCUCGCUCUGUCACCAGGCUGGAGUGCAGUGGCAUGAUCUCGGCUCACUGCAACCUCCACCUCCCAUGUUCAAGCGAUUCUCCUGCCUCAGCCUCCCAUGUAGCUGGGACUACAGGCGUGCACCACUAGGCCCACCUAAUUUUUGUAUUUUUAGUAGAGACAGGGUUUCACCAUGUUGGCCAGGAUGACCUCGAUCUCUUGACCUCGUGAUCUGCCUGCCUUGGCCUCCCAAAGCGCUGGGAUUACAGGCAUGAGCCACCGUGUCCGGCCUAGAAACUAUUUUAAUAGAAGCAAGUAGUGCCUGAAUGGUUGGCAUCUGUUAGUGAGAUGGUGAACUGGCAGAUGGCACCUGUGGGUCAAUGCCCGUGGCCACAGUCCUGCUUUCGGACACCAGUUCUCUUCCAGGUAACCUUCUGGCAUUUUGGGGUUUGAGAUACCAUUUCCUAAAGGUGAAUUAUCAUAAAAUACUAGAAAUAACCACAUGUUUAAAAUUAUAUAUUUAAGGAACCUUUUAUUACGGAAAAUAUCAAGAAGUAGAGGAAUAGCACAGGAACCCCAAAGUUCCCAUCUCUGAGUUAUCUACAUUUUAUUAACACUAUUUUUGUGGUGUCUGAGGGAGGUUUUUCUUUCCUGGAGGGCUCCUGUAUUAUUGCCAAUGUACUUUCCUGAACGCAGCCAGAAACUGAGCCCACCCCCCCAACUAUGUGCCUUCCUAUCCCUCUCUGAAGCUUCUGCAGAAUUCCCAGCAGGACAGAGCUUGCUGGAAGCUUGGUAUGCUCAGAAGCUGCUAAAGUGUGUAUGGGCAGGGGUAGGGGCAACUUCUUGGUCCUAGCACUUCCAUAUAUCGACUUUCUUUUCUGGCUGCUAAGUGGGAGGAGUAUGUGUGUAUGCAUGUGUGUGUGUGUGUGUGCGUGUGUGUGUGUGUACAUGCAUGUGUGUGUGGAUGCAUGCAUGUGCUGUGAAGCAGGGAGACCAGCUUUCCACUCCUUCUUGUCUUCUCUCUGCAGUGCCCUGGGAGCUGUCAUUGCCCUCCUGCUCUGGGGACAGCUUUUUGCAGUGGACUCAGGCAAUGAUGUCAUGGAUAUUUCAGGUCAGUCUUUGGUUGGGUAGGAGCGUGCAUCCCUGGUGCCGCCGCAUCCCACUCUGACCCUCUCGGAUCUGCACUCUCUCUCUGAGAACACCCAAUUCCCCCUUCUUAUCUCAACCUCUGGGCUUUCAGGACCGUAAAGAACACUGGGGUUCCUGCCAGAAAUGAGGGUAGCUUGCCUUUUCCAUUGGCUUCUAUUUGGGGUGGAAGGAGAUUGAUGUGCAGAGCAGCUUCCACUCAUCUGACUUUUCAUGGUUCACUGGGAACAAUUUCCAAAUAGCAAACUCUCUGGCUUCUCUCUCUUUGCAGAUGACGGCUGCCCAAAGCCCCCCCAGAUUGCACAUGGCUAUGUGGAGCACUCGGUUCGCUACCAGUGUAAGAACUACUACAGACUGCGCACAGAAGGAGAUGGAGUGUACACCUUAAACAGUGAGAAGCAGUGGAUAAAUAAGGCUGUUGGAGACAAACUUCCUGAAUGUGAAGCAGUAUGUGGGAAGCCCAAGAAUCCGGCAAACCCGGUGCAACGGAUCCUGGGUGGACACCUGGAUGCCAAAGGCAGCUUUCCCUGGCAGGCUAAGAUGGUCUCCCGCCAUAAUCUCACCACAGGGGCCACGCUGAUCAAUGAACAAUGGCUGUUGACCACGGCUAAAAAUCUCUUCCUGAACCAUUCAGAAAAUGCAACAGUGAAAGACAUUGCCCCUACUUUAACACUCUAUGUGGGGAAAAAGCAGCUUGUAGAGAUUGAGAAGGUGGUUCUACACCCUAACUACUCCCAGGUAGAUAUUGGGCUCAUCAAACUCAAACAGAAAGUGCCUGUUAAUGAGAGAGUGAUGCCCAUCUGCCUACCUUCAAAGGAUUAUGCAGAAGUAGGGCGUGUGGGUUAUGUUUCUGGCUGGGGGCGAAAUGCCAAUUUUAAAUUUACUGACCAUCUGAAGUAUGUCAUGCUGCCUGUGGCUGACCAAGACCAAUGCGUAAGGCAUUAUGAAGGCAGCACAGUCCCCGAAAAGAAGACACCAAAGAGCCCUGUAGGGGUGCAGCCCAUACUGAAUGAACACACCUUCUGUGCCGGCAUGUCUAAGUACCAGGAAGACACCUGCUAUGGUGAUGCGGGCAGUGCCUUUGCCGUUCACGACCUGGAGGAGGACACCUGGUACGCGGCUGGGAUCCUAAGCUUUGAUAAGAGCUGUGCUGUGGCUGAGUAUGGUGUAUACGUGAAAGUGACUUCCAUCCAGGACUGGGUUCAGAAGACCAUAGCCAAGAACUAAUGCAAGGCUGGCCAGAAGCCCUUGCCUGAAAGCAAGAUUUCAGCCUGGAAGAGGGCAAAGUGGACAGGAAUGGACAGGAGUGGACGGGAUAAGAUGUGGUUUGAAGCUGAUGGGUGCCAGCCCUGCAUUGCUGAGUCAAUCAAUAAAGAGCUUUCUUUUGACUC